CGCAGCCUGAUCCAGCCAUGCCGCGUGUCUGAAGAAGGCCUUCGGGUUGUAAAGGACUCUUUUCAGGGAAGAAAAGCUUUGGGUUAAUACCCUGGAGUGAUGACUGUACCUGAAGAAUAAGCACCGGCUAACUACGUGCCAGCAGCCGCGGUAAUACGUAGGGUGCGAGCGUUAAUCGGAAUUACUGGGCGUAAAGCGAGCGCAGACGGUUUGUUAAGCAGGAUGUGAAAUCCCCGGGCUCAACCUGGGAACUGCGUUCUGAACUGGCAGGCUAGAGUAUGUCAGAGGGGGGUAGAAUUCCACGUGUAGCAGUGAAAUGCGUAGAGAUGUGGAGGAAUACCGAUGGCGAAGGCAGCCCCCUGGGAUAAUACUGACGUUCAUGCUCGAAAGCGUGGGUAGCAAACAGGAUUAGAUACCCUGGUAGUCCACGCCCUAAACGAUGUCAAUUAGCUGUUGGGGCACUUGAUGCCUUAGUAGCGUAGCUAACGCGUGAAAUUGACCGCCUGGGGAGUACGGUCGCAAGAUUAAAACUCAAAGGAAUUGACGGGGACCCGCACAAGCGGUGGAUGAUGUGGAUUAAUUCGAUGCAACGCGAAAAACCUUUACCUGGUCUU
This 614-nucleotide ribosomal RNA is filed under the name Neisseria sp. 60. RNAcentral's name for it is "bacterial SSU rRNA". It matches the Rfam family "Bacterial small subunit ribosomal RNA", at positions 376 to 982 of the family's 1533-position model. Lineage: Bacteria; Pseudomonadati; Pseudomonadota; Betaproteobacteria; Neisseriales; Neisseriaceae. The record is from RNAcentral.